GUAAAAUAAUAAAUUUAGAUUUUUAUAGUAACAUAAUUAAAAAAAAAUUAAAAUAGAAAACAAAAAAUUAAAUAAAUAAAUAAACUAUUCAUCUUCUUCAAAUCCCCACUCCUUCCAACCUCACCUAUUCCCAACGCAACCACCAAAAACCAGAAAAUCAGUCACUAUCAGCCACUGUCACCGACCAGCAACCGCAGCAUCGUAAACUCUCUGAUCCUUAUCACAAAGUUAUAUAUUAAACUUCUUCAUAACUUAUUUCAUUUGUACCCUCAAGUUCUUUUAAAUUGGGUGAAAUCUACCAAGCCCCAUGUCUCUUUUCUCCACCCACAUUAACUAGUAAUCUCCAAGUCCGAUCUGUUGACACCCCCAAAUCACACUUCAAAGAUUCUCUACACCUACAAUCGCGCCAUGAAGGGAUUCUUAGAUCGGCUCACCGUUGACCAAGCCGCCAAGAUCAGCCAUGGAACUCACCGCUGACUAAGCCACCACGACCAUGUCGUGCUCUGCAGGUAACCAGGUAAUUUCGGCCCUGAUCCAUAUAUUACUGGUGGUGGUUGUACCGUAUCUGGGCUUGGAUAACUGUUGCUUGAAAAGCUUUCGGUUGAUUAUGGUAAAAAAUCGAAGUCGGGUUUUAGUAUUUACCCUUCUCCUCGGCUUUCAACUACCGUUGUUGAGCCUUAUAAUCAUGUGCUUUCGACUCAUUCUCCUUCGGAGCACACUGAUGUUAAUGUGAAUGAAGUUUAUCUCAAUGAUGUUUGGCUAUGAAGUAUGCGUUGGAAAAUGGUUAGUUGCAUUAAAUUGAAACACUGUAAAAUUCAAAAAGUAGAACUUAUCAAUCAAAUUUCGUGAUAUCACGAUAUUCUAAAGUGAAAUUGCGUAUUGUUAAUUGGGUUGUGCUAUUUGCACAGGGCCCUGUGCAAGGAGGAUUACCCUUGUUAAUUACUGUGACCUUUGUAGACAAUUAUUUUGCGGAUACAACGAUAAAAAAAUCACUUGUGUAGCGAUUUUAGAAAUCACCAGUGUGCUCCAGAAAAAAAGUAUAUAAGUAUAAAACUUGAGUAUGAAAGAUUAUAGAAUAUAAAAAUGAUAAAUUAGUUUUUGAUGUAAUUUUUUCAAAAUUAGAUAUGAGUUUAUAUGCCCUGGGGCAUAGUUUAAUGGUGCAAAGGAUAGGAGUGAGGUUAUAUCAUACCUUAUUGGCAGCUGUAGUGUAGGGGUUCGAUUCGUGAAACAUGAAAUUGGACUCCUUAUAGGCGCAAUGUACAGACAGCUCUUGUUCCCUGGCCUGAUGGGGCACAUCCCGCGAUUUACCUCCCUCACAAAGUUCUAGGG
Molecule: long non-coding RNA, 1329 nt
Filed under: Olea europaea subsp. europaea
Lineage: Eukaryota; Viridiplantae; Streptophyta; Magnoliopsida; Lamiales; Oleaceae
Source: RNAcentral